RNAcentral lists this long non-coding RNA (362 nucleotides) under Physcomitrium patens. Its description in RNAcentral is "long non-coding RNA (PPAT_LNC010294)". The record is from RNAcentral. Lineage: Eukaryota; Viridiplantae; Streptophyta; Bryopsida; Funariales; Funariaceae.
AAGCUUUACUAUAUCAAAGCUAUUGAAUUAAUAGAGGUGGGUUCGAACACGGGGAAAGACUGGUUAUAUGAAUUGGGUCUGUUAGUGUCACAAUUGAUUGUACUCUAGCUAUCUGAAAUCAAUUAUCAAACUACAAAAUACCAAGGCUUACUACUUCUAUUUUAAUUCAACAUAUAAUCCAUUCUAUGACUAUCAAUUCAACAAUACUUCUCUUAAUCACAAUUCUUCAUAAGCAAAUAAUAAAAGCAAAGAAAACAAAGAGGUAGCACCAAGCUUACCCCGGCUUAUGACUCUCACAGUCUGGCUCUUGACUUAAGACUCUCAAUCUAUUUAUCCUACCAAAAAGAUGAUCCAUCAGCCAG